ACCCAGCCGACGAGUCUCAGAUAGGAUGAAACGCACGUCUUGUAU
Molecule: non-coding RNA, 45 nt
Filed under: Schistosoma margrebowiei
Lineage: Eukaryota; Metazoa; Platyhelminthes; Trematoda; Strigeidida; Schistosomatidae
Source: RNAcentral